AGAAUCGAUCACAAUAUGAUCGCAUUAGGUUAUGACCCGCGCUCAUACGCAAGCGGCCUGUUCUUAUAUAAGCCGCGCGCGCCGCGCCCACUUCAGAACCGCAUUGACACUCGUCGAACGCGCUACUGUGACUGUGAAGUGCUUUGGAAGUGCAGUGACCAUGUUUACCAAUCCAUUCGAGAGGAAGCAUUCAGCGCUGAGGCAGGUCCUGGACCGCUUCAUCGGGAAGGAGGCCAGGCUGAGCUUCCGCAAGAAGAAGGAUCUAGCUAAGAUCGGAGGGAAUGUAUCUGGCAGCACGUCCUCGGUGGCAUCGUCCUCCAGCUCGGAGUUCAUGCCCCGUUUUACCAGGCAGAGAUGAAGGAGUCCGUGACAAUUGAUACCUACCAGUGAAUAAUUUUGGAGAUGCUGUUAUGAUGAACAGAAAGAUGGAACCUGUUGGUUGACGUCAAAGCAAGGAACCGGCUGCCGGCGAGUAACGGUCACCACCACAUGUGGGUUUAUUGCAAUAAAAAUGAUUAACUGAC
Cydia fagiglandana is the source of this 524-nucleotide long non-coding RNA. RefSeq lists it as uncharacterized. The record is from RefSeq and is a predicted model, not a curated record. NCBI's taxonomy places the organism in Eukaryota, Metazoa, Arthropoda, Insecta, Lepidoptera, Tortricidae. The transcript is spliced from 2 exons.